GACGUCAAGUCAUCCGUGGCCCUUAUGUCCAGGGCUACACACGUGCUACAAUGGUCGGUACAGAGGGUCGCCAGCCAGCGAUGGUGAGCUAAUCCCAAAAAACCGGCCUCAGUACAGAUAGAAGUCUGCAACUCGACUUCUUGAAGUCGGAAUCGCUAGUAAUCGCUAAUCAGCAGGUAGCGGUGAAUACGUUCCCGGGCCUU
Molecule: ribosomal RNA, 203 nt
Filed under: uncultured Phaselicystis sp.
Lineage: Bacteria; Pseudomonadati; Myxococcota; Polyangiales; Phaselicystidaceae
Description: partial 16S ribosomal RNA
Rfam family: Bacterial small subunit ribosomal RNA
Source: RNAcentral